RNAcentral lists this ribosomal RNA (666 nucleotides) under uncultured bacterium. Its description in RNAcentral is "bacterial SSU rRNA". It matches the Rfam family "Bacterial small subunit ribosomal RNA", at positions 67 to 728 of the family's 1533-position model. The record is from RNAcentral.
CGGCAGCACGGAGCUUGCUCUGGUGGCGAGUGGCGAACGGGUGAGUAAUAUAUCGGAACGUACCCUAGAGUGGGGGAUAACGUAGCGAAAGUUACGCUAAUACCGCAUACGAUCUAAGGAUGAAAGUGGGGGAUCGCAAGACCUCAUGCUCGUGGAGCGGCCGAUAUCUGAUUAGCUAGUUGGUAGGGUAAAAGCCUACCAAGGCAUCGAUCAGUAGCUGGUCUGAGAGGACGACCAGCCACACUGGAACUGAGACACGGUCCAGACUCCUACGGGAGGCAGCAGUGGGGAAUUUUGGACAAUGGGCGAAAGCCUGAUCCAGCAAUGCCGCGUGAGUGAAGAAGGCCUUCGGGUUGUAAAGCUCUUUUGUCAGGGAAGAAACGGUGAAAGCUAAUAUCUUUUGCUAAUGACGGCACCUGAAGAAUAAGCACCGGCUAACUACGUGCCAGCAGCCGCGGUAAUACGUAGGGUGCAAGCGUUAAUCGGAAUUACUGGGCGUAAAGCGUGCGCAGGCGGUUUUGUAAGUCUGAUGUGAAAUCCCCGGGCUCAACCUGUGAAUUGCAUUGGAGACUGCAAGGCUAGAAUCUGGCAGAGGGGGGUAGAAUUCCACGUGUAGCAGUGAAAUGCGUAGAUAUGUGGAGGAACACCGAUGGCGAAGGCAGCCCC